AUUGAACGCUGGCGGCAGGCCUAACACAUGCAAGUCGAACGGUAACAGGAAGCAGCUUGCUGCUUCGCUGACGAGUGGCGGACGGGUGAGUAAUGUCUGGGAAACUGCCUGAUGGAGGGGGAUAACUACUGGAAACGGUAGCUAAUACCGCAUAACGUCGCAAGACCAAAGAGGGGGACCUUAGGGCCUCUUGCCAUCGGCUGUGCCCAGAUGGGAUUAGCUAGUAGGUGGGGUAACGGCUCACCUAGGCGACGAUCCCUAGCUGGUCUGAGAGGAUGACCAGCCACACUGGAACUGAGACACGGUCCAGACUCCUACGGGAGGCAGCAGUGGGGAAUAUUGCACAAUGGGCGCAAGCCUGAUGCAGCCAUGCCGCGUGUAUGAAGAAGGCCUUCGGGUUGUAAAGUACUUUCAGCGGGGAGGAAGGGAGGAAAGUUAAUACCUUUGCUCAUUGACGUUACCCGCAGAAGAAGCACCGGCUAACUCCGUG
This 490-nucleotide ribosomal RNA is filed under the name uncultured bacterium. Its description in RNAcentral is "partial 16S ribosomal RNA". It matches the Rfam family "Bacterial small subunit ribosomal RNA", at positions 30 to 507 of the family's 1533-position model. The record is from RNAcentral.